Aedes albopictus (Asian tiger mosquito) is the source of this 74-nucleotide non-coding RNA. NCBI's taxonomy places the organism in Eukaryota, Metazoa, Arthropoda, Insecta, Diptera, Culicidae. The record is from Rfam.
GUCUCCGUAGCUUGGAGGAAAGAAGCGCCCAUCUAGCGAAUUGGAAGUCGUGGGUUCAACUCCCACCGGAGCUC